GGCCACAGCAUCCCUCAUGUCCAGCCUGGCAGGCCAUUUCCUGAGGCCCAAGUCCCGUCUCCCACCCUGACAGCUGUCCCCGAGGGCCAGUCUGGAAGGCAUGAAACCAGUAAUGGAAGGCUGCCCUGCAGUGAUCAGAGGCCCUCCUGGGCUCCCCAUGCCCCCUGCCGACACAGUUCGAUGAGGUUCUGGAUCCCACCCACGUCGAUGAUCUCCCGCCGAAGAUCUAGGGAUGUCUUGCGCACACGCUCUUGGCCCUGCAUGGAGGUGGCUCAUCAAACCCCAUGCUGGGGCCUUGGGGUCCCUGAGCUACGCUGGGGGAGGAGGAUAGAGAGAGCUUCUCAGGAGAGAGAGAAUCCAGGUCUAGCUCUCCCGCCCAGGACUAGGAGAAGCAGAUGAGACCAGGACACAGAGGGGGACCAGGGGACAAGGGGAGACCUGAGGGGACUGCGUAGAAGCUGCCAGCUUUGAGCCUUCACGUAGGUGAAGGGUAGGAGGAGGGACUCUCAGAGGUAACCCUCCGCCCAGGCCUUCAGAAUGGAAUCUGAAUCCUCAGCUUUCCAUGCAGUUUCAUUUGUGUGUGUGUGAGAUCAUACGAGUAAUAUAGAAACAGGGGCACCUGGG
This is a long non-coding RNA of Zalophus californianus (California sea lion), 624 nucleotides long. RefSeq lists it as uncharacterized. The record is from RefSeq and is a predicted model, not a curated record. The transcript is spliced from 3 exons. Lineage: Eukaryota; Metazoa; Chordata; Mammalia; Carnivora; Otariidae.